GUGAGGCAGGGCCCCUCAGCCCAGCUAUCCCCCUCUUGCGUUGCAGAGCCAAGGAAGCUAGUAUGGGAGAGCCUGGUGAUUAGCAGCUAGAACGAAACCCCCCGCCGCAGUGCCACCUGCCCCAGCUGCCCACAGAAGUGUCCUUGGGAUAAGCCCCACAGCUCUCUGCUAGAGUCUGGGGGAUUUUCCAUGUCUUCCUCAUCAUUUUGACAAGGAACACGUUCUGCCUAGAUAAGUGGCUAUGGGGAAACUCCUGCCUGAUGGGAAACCAGGCUCAAGACCCAAUGGGGACUGGGCACGGGAAGUGCUUGGUGGGCAGACAAGUCAGAUGACAGCAAGUCUGGCAGCAGAUCUGCUGAGGGGGCUGUGCAUGGCAUCCCAGCUCAUGGUCCCUCGCUUCUCUCACCUGGCUUCCCCUCCUAUAGGGGGUGCCUAUCUUUGCCUGCUGGCCCCAGGGAGAAUGCAACUGGCCCAGUUCUGUGGCCUAGCGCAGGCCUGCUGCAGAAACAACCUCAGGACAGACUUGUGUAAGAGGGAAACUGGCUAUAACAUAGUUUGCUCUAGGGUAGGGGAAAUGAGACCCUGAGGGCAAUGUGGGCCUGGUGACAGGGACCCAGCACAGAGCACUCCUGCCCACACUCCAGUGAGGAGGCUGCCUUGUCAGGGCCCCAUCCCACAGAGAGGGAGGUUCACCCUACCGGGCUCCCAGCAGUGGAACCCCUCCCCACCCCAGCCUGUAGGUCCUUGCCACCCUGACGGCUGCUGACUAGGCACUUGGCAGUGCCCCUGCAUGCUGGGCACCCUGCCCGGCAGCCCUCCCCAAGCAACCUCAAUCUGACCCACUGCAGCUUUGCUAACUAAGCCACUGGGGUGGGGGAUCAUGGCCCUGGGGCAGCAGCUGGGGGUAGAGCUGGCCCCAGGAGAGAUCAAUCCCUUUUGUGGGCAGCUCUAUGCGGGUCCCAGAGAGGCUGCCAAGGGACCAACCCUGACAUGGCAGUGUCCACUGAGUCAAUAAGCACCCCCUCCACCCCUACCUCUCCCUCCCUGUCUGGUUUCCCUGUCACAUUCCUGCUAGCUGCUUGCGGGCACCAAUGUGCUGCAUUGGACAAUCAUUAGCAAUAGCAGGAACACUGGAGACCCAGCAGGGAGACUCUGCUGGGCCUUUCCAGUACAGUGCCUGGGACAGGACCAACAAACACCAAGGUGGCAGGAAGACCCUCCAGGAAGACCCGAGAGGAUGGCUUCAGCCAUGGCCACCUGGUUCUAGAUGGUUCAGAGACCCCGUUACUGUCCGGAACACCUGCAAGGCUGCUGCCCCGCAUUGAGACCUCUGAAGCCAGGCCUGUCUGUGGCACCACAGUCUGCAAAUGGCCCCAGUCUCUGGUCCACACCAACGUCUCUCUGUAGCAGGUGAGGGUAGCCGGGCCACAGACCCUGGACACAAGCACCCAGCCAGCACAGAACUGCCUACAGCACACCAGCACCCUAAGGCAAAUCCUACUGCCUUUGAAGGACCCGAGAAGAGUUGCGUUUCACUAAAUUACAUUUAGCAUAUUUAUUAGCACAAGUAUUAGGGAAUAGCUGAUACGUGUCCUCAAAAGGUCAAAGAGAGUGUUGAACUGAUGAAUUGGGAACAUACCAUAAUGAAAAGGAGCAAUCUGAAAUGAUGACCCAAUGGAGAUUUUAAACAAACAACAGCAGACAGGACACGGCAGCAAAUCUGCAGAGUGAGGUAGCAGAAAGCAUACUCGGGGCAGUCCUUCCAAAGCAGCAGAAAAUGACAAAAAGUUGAUGAAAGAGGGAAGACAGGAGAUGUAGAAAAUAGAUCCCAGGGCUAAACUUCCACAGAACAGGAAUUCCCUGAGGCAGGAAGAGUGGAUCGGCACCCCACAACAUUGCCAGAAGCGGGGCUUUCUGUCCAGAAAACAAGCUAAGAAAAGUGUGGAUAUGCCUAUUUCUGGCAUUUUACAAUUCACUCUUGGUAGGCUGAUGUUUCCCCCAGUCUCCUAAAUGUUUGAUAUCGGCUCUGCAGUAUGGGAAGGAGGCCCACCCCGCCUGAUCUGCUGGCUGUGCAAACGUUCCCAGUACCCAGGCGCACUGAACUCUGGGUUCACAUUCUCCACCAGGCUGUCCACAUCCUGGCGGGGCUGGACAUCGUCCAUCCCCAGAUGUCAGCUGCACAUCGUCUUGCCCACUCACCAUCUCUUGUGUUGCAGACACUUUUACAACCAGGAAUAGCUGACAGCUUUGUUAAACAAGAUGCCUGGCCUCCUUAAAUCAAGAUCUUUAAAAAAGUUAACCUAGCUCUGAAAUUCCUUAAGGAAACUUCAUAGUGAAAUUCCAGGAUUUUCAAAGUCAUGAUUUGCCAUUCGCAUGAUCCAUCUUUCCCUGGGAGGGAACAAACAUGGCUCACUGGGAGCUCACCAGAUUGCCCAGAGAAGUCCAGGCUAUUUCAAUUAGGGGGUCACCCUACCAUAGGCAGAAGCUCCAGGCAACAUCCCUUGGGGUACAAGGGCUGCUGAGAGGUUGAACUGUAUUUUCCAGCAAUGCCCUGAUAUGCCAUGUGCCUUAAGAUGACUAGCUGUUCCUAGCAGUCCUUUGUUAGCUGCCUGUGGGGAGUAUUUUUACUGUCUCAGGAUAUCUGUGCAUCUGUGGGCUGAUGAGUAUAAGAGAUUAGGUAUUAAAAAGAGAGAGAGAGAGAGAGAGAGAGACACUAGAUAUGAAUCCAUGAAACACAAAGUUCAGCCAAGCCAAACAACAACAACAACAACAGAAACCCAAACGAUACACACAGAUGCCGGUACACACACAAACAUGAAAGUUAAGUAUACGACGGAUGUGUUCAUUAACUAGAAGGUAGGAACGUUUUCACAAUAUAUUUGUAUAUCCAAUCCUUACAAUGUACAUUUCAAACAGCUUACAAGUUUAUCAAUUACACUCAGUGAAACUGAAAAAAAAAAUGAAGUAAAACAAAGGAACAUUUUAGCUAUUUUAAUUUUACAAAUUCAGUUGCUUAAAAAUAAACUUGAGGGGUGCCUGGGUGGCUCGGCUGGUUAAGCAGCUGACUUCGGCUCAGGUCAUGAUCUCAUGGUUCAUGAGUUCGAGCCCCGCAUCAGGCUCCAUGCUCACAGCUCAGAGCCUGGAGCCUGCUUUGGAUUUUGUGUCUCCCUCUCUCUCUGCCCCUCCCCUGCUUGCUCUCUCUCUCUCAAAAAUAAAUAAACAUUAAAAAUUUUUUUUAAAUAAAAAUUUAAAAAAGUAAACUUGAAAAAUGUAAAAAAAAUUCCCAACAACACCCAUCUCUUGUGUUCCAUAUGCCUUUUCUUUUAUAUUUUAAAAUAAAAAAGAUUAUAACAGAGUACUAUGAACAACUGCACACCAACAAAUUGCAUAACCUAAAUGAACAAAUUCCUACAAACACACAAUCUACCAAAACUGACCCAUGAAGAAACAAAACCUGAGCAGACCUGUAACUAGCAGGGAGACUGAAUCAGUAUUCAAAAUCCUCUCAAAAAAGAAAGGCCCAGGACCAGGUGGCUUCACUGGUGAAUUCUACCAAAUAUUCAAAGAGGAGUUAACAUUAAUCUUCAAACUGUCCCCCAAAAUUGACAAGAAAGGAGCAGUUACUAACCCAUUCUACAAGGCUGGAAUUAUUACCCUGAUACCAAGCCAUAAAAGAAAAUUAUAGACCGGGGCACCUGGGUCGCUUAGUCGGUUGAGCAUCCAACUUUGGCUCAGGUCAUGAUCUCACAGUUCAUGAGUUCGAGCCCUGCAUCAGGCUCACUGCUGUCAGCAGAGAGCCUGCUAUGGAUCUUCUGCCCC
Panthera uncia (snow leopard) is the source of this 3819-nucleotide long non-coding RNA. RefSeq lists it as uncharacterized. The record is from RefSeq and is a predicted model, not a curated record. The transcript has 3 exons. Lineage: Eukaryota; Metazoa; Chordata; Mammalia; Carnivora; Felidae.